AGUGAACGCUGGCGGUAGGCCUAACACAUGCAAGUCGAACGGCAGCACAGUAAGAGCUUGCUCUUACGGGUGGCGAGUGGCGGACGGGUGAGGAAUACAUCGGAAUCUACUUUUUCGUGGGGGAUAACGUAGGGAAACUUACGCUAAUACCGCAUACGACCUACGGGUGAAAGCAGGGGAUCUUCGGACCUUGCGCGAUUGAAUGAGCCGAUGUCGGAUUAGCUAGUUGGCGGGGUAAAGGCCCACCAAGGCGACGAUCCGUAGCUGGUCUGAGAGGAUGAUCAGCCACACUGGAACUGAGACACGGUCCAGACUCCUACGGGAGGCAGCAGUGGGGAAUAUUGGACAAUGGGCGCAAGCCUGAUCCAGCCAUACCGCGUGGGUGAAGAAGGCCUUCGGGUUGUAAAGCCCUUUUGUCGGGAAAGAAAAGCAGCAGGUUAAUACCCCGCUGUUCUGACGGUACCCAAAGAAUAAACACCGGCUAACUUCGU
Molecule: ribosomal RNA, 491 nt
Filed under: uncultured bacterium
Lineage: Bacteria
Description: partial 16S ribosomal RNA
Rfam family: Bacterial small subunit ribosomal RNA
Source: RNAcentral